AAUCGGUUUUUGACCUGUAGUAAGCCAACCCUUGUGAGGCUGUUUGUUGCAAGGAUAAAUGGCACAGCACAUGUGUAGAGCUUAAUGCAUAUGGUAGCGACUACCCACCAAGUGGAGCCAGUAACCUUGGGCCACCUUGUCAAGCAGCAAUAGAUGAAGGUUCUGAUUGCUAGAGUUCUCUUGCUCAUUCCCAAGUGAUCAUAAAGUCUCCUCUGCACUUUGCUGGCAGCAUGUGGCAGAGGUAGAUCAGGAUUAGCUUGGGAUGCCCAGGCAGAGAGGAACUCAGAGGAAGCCACCCUAAUCCCCAGGACGUUAAAGCCCUGAAUGGUAUGGAAAGCAGUGGGACAUUGGCCUAAUUCCAGGAUGGGUCACUGAAGUUAGCUGAGGUGAGAACGGAGGCAAGUCUGAACCUGGCCUCAGUUUCUUGCAGGAAGAAUGGGUGGAGCAGUGAGGAUGGCACAGACCAUGUACUUGGAGACCAGGUAGAAACAUGGAUGCCUUGGUGAAUUUCAGGGCUAAACGAUGGAAUCGUACACCCCUGUGAAGGAAGCCACAAGAGGGUGAAUACCUGAAGACCUAACAUUUCCCCCACAGGGCAGUGCCAUGACGAGCUUGCCCUCCUGGGUCAAUCUUGGGCAGAUCAGGCAGAGCUCGAGAGGUUGAAUCAACCAAGUUUCAACUGGAAAUUCCUUAUCAGACCUGGAAUGAGCAAGAUGAAGUUUUCUGCCACCAGAUAGAAUGUGGGGAGACACCAAGUGCAAUGCCUGUUGAAGAAAUAGGGCUGCACAGAUUGUUUUGCACGCUGGAGCUUGUAGAUUGGAAAUACACUCAUGCGUUGGUAAGCUGAAGUGGAUUGUGGUUUAAAAACCUUUCUUAUUUUAGAGACACGGUCUUGCUCUGUCCGGGCUGCAGCACACUGGUGCCAUCGUGGCUCAUUGCAGCCUCGACUUCCUGGGCUCAAGUGAUCCUCCUACCUCCUGAGUAGCUUAGGCUACAGGUACUGACCACCAUGCCCAACUAAUUUUCUUAAUUUUAAAUUUUUUAUAGAGAGAGGGUCUCGGUACAUUGCUCAGGCUUGUUUCCUGGCCUCGAGCAAUCCUCCUGCCUUAGCCUCCCAAAGUGCUGGGAUCACAGAAAAGAAAACUGUGAAUAUCAGGAAACUCUGCUCCCAGAGCAAGCAAUCGGUCACCAUACUCAGCCACAAAAUGCUUAUCAAAUGACGAUUCUGAGCCUGGCCUCAGGAUCUGCAAUGCUUUUACCUCCCAAAUCCUGAUACUAGGUUGGCACAAAAGUUAUUUCCAUUAAAAGGCAAUUACUUUCUCACAAGCCUAAUAAUAAGCUGUCCCUCCACCGCCACUGCACUGAUCCCCUUCCCUACCCUCUUACCAGGUCCUUCCACCUUAGGACGACUCCAACCCGCCAAGCGCCCUCCACCUCAGUGCCCCUGCCUGUGCUUUUCCCCAGGGCUCGCCCAUCUUGGCAUUCACCCCUGCCAUCCAUGGCUCACUUAUUCAUGACAUCCACCCUGGUUACACGGGACUCACUUGGCCACUUUAUGUAUACAGCCUCGGUGCAGGAUGCAUUUCUAUGCAUUUCGUGUUCACCAUCUUCCUCCUCCUUUCUCUGUCAUGAGUCCCAUGGCAGCAAGGACACCGUUCUACUCCCCGUGAUCGCCUCGUGAUACAUCACAGCACUGACUCGUAGAAAGUGCACAGCAAAUGUUUGCGGAGUGAAGAAUGACUGGGUGAUUGCGCCAGGAGCCGAGUGCCCCGACAGUCACACUUUUCUUUCCUUCCACAAGUCAGGUUGGUAUUCAUUUUUACUCAAGAAGGGAGUAGGCCUCUCUGCAUAGCUGGAGAGGAGGACAGACGCAUCCUUUGAAGCUAUCAGCCUUUCCAGAAGGGUUGAGCCCAUUCCAAGAGAGAAGCGAGAUGCAGAGCUCAUUGGAGACCUUCCAGGAAAGACACGCUCCAAGGUCCACUCCUAAAACUUUGCAUUUUCAAAAUAUCACAGACGACAGAAACUGGAUUUGCUCCAAAGCUUGCUAUUGAAUUUUAUGCCUGCUGAGCGCUACUAAACACAGAAUGAAGAGGCUGAAUUAACUAUGCAAAAAGGCUUUCUCUACUCAGCAUCCAACUCAUUCAUCCAUUUGUCCAUCCAUCAAGCAUUCACCAGGCACCAGAUUUGUGCCAGGCACAGUGGGAGAGGUGCAGAAGCGCAUCAUUGUGGUCCAUGGUGGGCCCCAGACUGCCAGAGGGAGUUCCCUCACACCUGUGAUCAGGGCCCCAUCCAUUUGGCUAAAGACACGCGAGGAGACUGACCAGAGUGCAUUGGAAGGCAGCAAGUCUUGGGGCUGCUCUGCUCUUGUCCCUCCAUGCCCCCUGUGGUGCCCAGCUGCAAAGGUGUUUCCCAAGCAGGCAUGGGUCCACUCCACUUGAGAAAGCCAUCCAAUUCUCGCUGCAGCACUUCCCUUUGUAUUAGGGGUAUGAGUCUGUAUUAAUAAAGACAUACCCAAGACUGGGUAAUUUAUAAAGGAAAGAGGCUUAAUUGCUCACAGUUCAGCAUGGCUGGGGAGGCCUCAGGAAACUUACAAUCAUGGUGGAAGGAGAAGUAAACAUGUCCUUCACAUGGCAGCAGCAAGGAGAAGUGCUGAGCAAAAAAGGGGAAAAGCCCCUUAUAAAACCAUCAGGUCUUGGCCCGGUGCGGUGGCUCACACCUGUAAUACCAGCACUUUGGGAGGCCGAGGUGGGCAGAUCACAAGGUCAGGAGAUCUAGACCAUCCUGGCUAACACGGUGAAACCUCGUCUCUACUAAAAAUACAAAAAAUUAGCCGGGCGCAGUGGCGGGCGUCUGUAGUCCCAGCUACUCAGGAGGCUGAGGCAGGAGAAUGGCGUGAACCCGGGAGGCGGAGCUUGCAGUGAGCCGAGAUCGCGCCACUGCACUCCAGCCUGGGUGACAGCCAGACUCUGUCUCAAAAAAACACAAAAACAAAAAACAAAAAACAAAAAACCAUCAGGUCUUGUGAGAACUCACUCCCUGUCACGAGAACAGCAGCAUGGGGGUAACGGCUCCCAUGAUUCAAUUACCUCCCACCAGGUCCUUCCUAUGACACGUGGGUAUUAUGGGAACUAGAAUUCAAGAUGAGAUUUGGGUGAUGACACAGCCAAACCAUAUCAGGGUCUGUAUUAUACUCAUUCUGGAAUAAUUUACACUAACAAUUAGAAUCACUUGGUGAACUUCAGAAGAACACUCUUGCUUUUUAAAAAACCUUCCUUUUCUCUUUCUCCUUUGCAGAUUCAGCUUAUCUAUGGCGAGCAUGGGUAUCACUUUUCAUUUUGGUAAAGCUUCCUGGGGUAUCCCUAUGUGCAGCCACAGUUAAAAAGGAUUUUUUAAGGGAAUAGUUUCAAAUAUGGAGAUCCUAUUUCUGUAUGAAAGUAGCAGCAGCAAGGCAACCGUCUCCUCCGGAGCAACAUGUCAGAGGCCCAGGUGCCCUGGCCAUCAUCGCUGCCCCAGGUUUCCCAGUGCCAC
RNAcentral lists this long non-coding RNA (3528 nucleotides) under Homo sapiens (human). RNAcentral's name for it is "non-protein coding lnc-SLC15A4-17:1". Lineage: Eukaryota; Metazoa; Chordata; Mammalia; Primates; Hominidae. The record is from RNAcentral.